GACGAACGCUGGCGGCGUGCCUAAUACAUGCAAGUGGGACGCAAGGAAACACACUGUGCUUGCACACCGUGUUUUCUUGAGUCGCGAACGGGUGAGUAACGCGUAGGUAACCUGCCUAUUAGCGGGGGAUAACUAUUGGAAACGAUAGCUAAUACCGCAUAAUAUUCAUUAUUGCAUGUUAAUUGAUUGAAAGAUGCAAGCGCAUCACUAGUAGAUGGACCUGCGUUGUAUUAGCUAGUUGGUAAGGUAAGAGCUUACCAAGGCGACGAUACAUAGCCGACCUGAGAGGGUGAUCGGCCACACUGGGACUGAGACACGGCCCAGACUCCUACGGGAGGCAGCAGUAGGGAAUCUUCGGCAAUGGACGAAAGUCUGACCGAGCAACGCCGCGUGAGUGAAGAAGGUUUUCGGAUCGUAAAGCUCUGUUGUAAGUCAAGAACGUGUGUGAGAGUGGAAAGUUCACACAGUGACGGUAGCUUACCAGAAAGGGACGGCUAACUACGUG
RNAcentral lists this ribosomal RNA (505 nucleotides) under uncultured bacterium. Its description in RNAcentral is "partial 16S ribosomal RNA". It matches the Rfam family "Bacterial small subunit ribosomal RNA", at positions 28 to 507 of the family's 1533-position model. The record is from RNAcentral.